CCUACGGGGGGCAGCAGUGGGGAAUAUUGGACAAUGGGCGAAAGCCUGAUCCAGCCAUGCCGCGUGUGUGAAGAAGGCCUUCGGGUUGUAAAGCACUUUCAGUGGGGAAGAAAGCCUUGGGGCUAAUACCCUCGAGGAAGGACAUCACCCACAGAAGAAGCACCGGCUAACUCCGUGCCAGCAGCCGCGGUAAUACGGAGGGUGCGAGCGUUAAUCGGAAUUACUGGGCGUAAAGCGCGCGUAGGCGGUCUGAUAAGCCGGUUGUGAAAGCCCCGGGCUCAACCUGGGAACGGCAUCCGGAACUGUCAGGCUAGAGUGCAGGAGAGGAAGGUAGAAUUCCCGGUGUAGCGGUGAAAUGCGUAGAGAUCGGGAGGAAUACCAGUGGCGAAGGCGGCCUUCUGGACUGACACUGACGCUGAGGUCCGAAAGCGUGGGUAGCAAACAGGAUUAGAUACCCGAGUAGUC
RNAcentral lists this ribosomal RNA (465 nucleotides) under Vreelandella stevensii. RNAcentral describes it as "partial 16S ribosomal RNA". It matches the Rfam family "Bacterial small subunit ribosomal RNA", at positions 338 to 795 of the family's 1533-position model. Lineage: Bacteria; Pseudomonadati; Pseudomonadota; Gammaproteobacteria; Oceanospirillales; Halomonadaceae. The record is from RNAcentral.